GACCGCGUAGCUCAGUUGGCAGAGCAUUGGGUUAGUAUUCCAAAGGUCGUAGGUUCGAUUCCCACCGUGGCCG
Molecule: transfer RNA, 73 nt
Filed under: Paramuricea clavata
Lineage: Eukaryota; Metazoa; Cnidaria; Anthozoa; Malacalcyonacea; Plexauridae
Rfam family: tRNA
About the family: Transfer RNA (tRNA) molecules are approximately 80 nucleotides in length. Their secondary structure includes four short double-helical elements and three loops (D, anti-codon, and T loops).
Source: Rfam by way of RNAcentral